RNAcentral lists this ribosomal RNA (494 nucleotides) under uncultured bacterium. Its description in RNAcentral is "partial 16S ribosomal RNA". It matches the Rfam family "Bacterial small subunit ribosomal RNA", at positions 28 to 507 of the family's 1533-position model. The record is from RNAcentral.
GACGAACGCUGGCGGCGUGCUUAACACAUGCAAGUCGAACGGAAAGGCCUGCUUUCCCUUGUGGAUUGCGGGUACUCGAGUGGCGAACGGGUGAGUAACACGUGAGUGAUCUGCCCCCAACUUGGGUAUAAGCCUGGGAAACUGGGUCUAAUUCCCGAUAGGACUGCAGGGUGGUGCCUGUGGUGGAAAACGAUUUUCUAGUGGUUGGGGAUGAGCUCGCGGCCUAUCGGCUUGUUGGUGGGGUAAUGGCCUACCAAGGCGGCGACGGGUAGCCGGCCUGAGAGGGUGGACGGCCGCAUUGGGACUGAGAUACGGCCCAGACUCCUACGGGAGGCAGCAGUGGGGAAUAUUGCACAAUGGGCGGAAGCCUGAUGCAGCGACGCCGCGUGGGGGAUGACGGCCUUCGGGUUGUAAACUCCUUUCGACUGCGAGGAAGCCACCUGGUUGGAAGGGUGGUGACGGUAGUGGUAGAAGAAGCACCGGCUAACUACGUG